This 492-nucleotide ribosomal RNA is filed under the name uncultured bacterium. Its description in RNAcentral is "partial 16S ribosomal RNA". It matches the Rfam family "Bacterial small subunit ribosomal RNA", at positions 29 to 507 of the family's 1533-position model. The record is from RNAcentral.
AUUGAACGCUGGCGGCAUGCUUUACACAUGCAAGUCGAACGGUAACAGGCCUUCGGGUGCUGACGAGUGGCGAACGGGUGAGUAAUGCAUCGGAACGUACCCAGAGGUGGGGGAUAACGCAGCGAAAGCUGUGCUAAUACCGCAUGUGAUCUGAGGAUGAAAGCGGGGGACCGAGCAGCAAUGUUUGGCCUCGCGCCUUUGGAGCGGCCGAUGUCGGAUUAGCUAGUUGGUGGGGUAAAGGCCUACCAAGGCGACGAUCCGUAGCUGGUCUGAGAGGACGACCAGCCACACUGGGACUGAGACACGGCCCAGACUCCUACGGGAGGCAGCAGUGGGGAAUUUUGGACAAUGGGCGCAAGCCUGAUCCAGCAAUGCCGCGUGCGGGAAGAAGGCCUUCGGGUUGUAAACCGCAUUUGGCAGGAACGAAACGGUGUCCGCUAAUACCGGGCGCUAAUGACGGUACCUGCAGAAUAAGCACCGGCUAACUACGUG